Molecule: ribosomal RNA, 495 nt
Filed under: uncultured bacterium
Lineage: Bacteria
Description: partial 16S ribosomal RNA
Rfam family: Bacterial small subunit ribosomal RNA
Source: RNAcentral
GACGAACGCUGGCGGCGUGCCUAAUACAUGCAAGUAGAACGCUGAAGGAGGAGCUUGCUUCUCUGGAUGAGUUGCGAACGGGUGAGUAACGCGUAGGUAACCUGCCUGGUAGCGGGGGAUAACUAUUGGAAACGAUAGCUAAUACCGCAUAAUAGUAGAUGUUGCAUGACAUUUGCUUAAAAGGUGCAAUUGCAUCACUACCAGAUGGACCUGCGUUGUAUUAGCUAGUUGGUGGGGUGACGGCUCACCAAGGCGACGAUACAUAGCCGACCUGAGAGGGUGAUCGGCCACACUGGGACUGAGACACGGCCCAGACUCCUACGGGAGGCAGCAGUAGGGAAUCUUCGGCAAUGGACGGAAGUCUGACCGAGCAACGCCGCGUGAGUGAAGAAGGUUUUCGGAUCGUAAAGCUCUGUUGUAAGAGAAGAACGAGUGUGAGAGUGGAAAGUUCACACUGUGACGGUAUCUUACCAGAAAGGGACGGCUAACUACGUG